RNAcentral lists this ribosomal RNA (468 nucleotides) under uncultured bacterium. RNAcentral's name for it is "partial 16S ribosomal RNA". It matches the Rfam family "Bacterial small subunit ribosomal RNA", at positions 28 to 507 of the family's 1533-position model. The record is from RNAcentral.
GACGAACGCUGGCGGCGUGCUUAACACAUGCAAGUCGAACGGAAAGGCCCUGCUUUUGUGGGGUGCUCGAGUGGCGAACGGGUGAGUAACACGUGAGUAACCUGCCCCUGACUUUGGGAUAACUUCAGGAAACUGGGGCUAAUACCGGCUAGGAGCUCUCGCCGCAUGGUGGGGGCUGGAAAGUUUCGGUGGUUGGGGAUGUACUCGCGGCUUAUCAGCUUGUUGGUGGGGUAGUGGCUUACCAUGGCCUUGACCGGUAGCCGGCCUGAGCGGGGGAGCGGCCAAGUUGGGACUGAGAUACGGCACAGACUCGUACGGGAGGCAGGGGUGGAGAAUAGUGCACAAUGGGCGGAGGCCUGAUGCAGCAACGCCGCGUGCGGGAUGACAGCCUUCGGGUUGUAAUCCGCUUUCGCCUGUGACGAGGCGUGAGUGACGGUAAUGGGUAAAGAAGCACCGGCUAACUACGUG